AGUGAACGCUGGCGGUAGGCCUAACACAUGCAAGUCGAACGGCAGCACAGGAGAGCUUGCUCUCUAGGUGGCGAGUGGCGGACGGGUGAGGAAUACAUCGGAAUCUGCCCAGUCGUGGGGGAUAACGUAGGGAAACUUACGCUAAUACCGCAUACGACCUUCGGGUGAAAGAGGGGGAUCGCAAGACCUCUCGCGAUUGGAUGAGCCGAUGUCGGAUUAGCUAGUUAGCGGGGUAAUGGCCCACCAAGGCGACGAUCCGUAGCUGGUCUGAGAGGAUGAUCAGCCACACUGGAACUGAGACACGGUCCAGACUCCUACGGGAGGCAGCAGUGGGGAAUAUUGGACAAUGGGCGCAAGCCUGAUCCAGCCAUACCGCGUGGGUGAAGAAGGCCUUCGGGUUGUAAAGCCCUUUUGUUGGGAAAGAAAUCUUUCAGGCUAAUACCCUGGGAGGAUGACGGUACCCAAAGAAUAAGCACCGGCUAACUGUGUG
RNAcentral lists this ribosomal RNA (490 nucleotides) under uncultured bacterium. Its description in RNAcentral is "partial 16S ribosomal RNA". It matches the Rfam family "Bacterial small subunit ribosomal RNA", at positions 29 to 507 of the family's 1533-position model. The record is from RNAcentral.